Molecule: ribosomal RNA, 489 nt
Filed under: uncultured bacterium
Lineage: Bacteria
Description: partial 16S ribosomal RNA
Rfam family: Bacterial small subunit ribosomal RNA
Source: RNAcentral
GACGAACGCUGGCGGCGUGCUUAACACAUGCAAGUCGAACGGUGAAGGGAUCAGCUUGCUGGUUCUGGAUGAGUGGCGAACGGGUGAGUAACACGUGAGUAACCUGCCCCCUUCUUCUGGAUAACCGCAUGAAAGUGUGGCUAAUACGGGAUAUUCUGGGUCUGUCGCAUGAUGGGUCUGGGAAAGAUAUUGUUUCGGUGGGGGAUGGGCUCGCGGCCUAUCAGCUUGUUGGUGGGGUGAUGGCCUACCAAGGCGGUGACGGGUAGCCGGCCUGAGAGGGUGGACGGUCACACUGGGACUGAGACACGGCCCAGACUCCUACGGGAGGAAGCAGUGGGGAAUAUUGCACAAUGGGCGCAAGCCUGAUGCAGCGACGCCGCGUGAGGGAGGGAGGCCUUCGGGUUGUAAACCUCUUUCGCCAGUGAAGCAGGCCUGCUCCUUGUGGGUGGGUUGACGGUAGCUGGAUAAGAAGCGCCGGCUAACUACGUG